Molecule: long non-coding RNA, 662 nt
Organism: Cimex lectularius (bed bug)
Lineage: Eukaryota; Metazoa; Arthropoda; Insecta; Hemiptera; Cimicidae
Exons: 3
Source: RefSeq, a predicted model, not a curated record
CCUAAUAAAAUGUUAUUAAAUAGUUUGAAAGCUGAAUUCAUUUAGCCUGUAUAAUGUAUGUUUGUCUUCAGACAACAAAUAAUUUAAUAUGCCGUUAAUUCACUAUUUGGAAAUGUUUUCGUGAACGGGGAAUUUUUUUCAGUCCUCCGUGGAAAUCAACAAACUGAAACGUGAUAAAACACGGUUCCCACACAAGCAGAACAGCAUUGGUUAUUUAGCUUCGAACAAACAUGUAAAUUGUAAUUGUAAGGAGGUGCUUUGACAAUUUGUCUGAAGACUUUUGGUUGUUAGGACUGGAUACGCUAGAUAUUGGAUGGCUGAAUCCCAUGGAUCUACUUCAUAUGGAUAAAUUCGUCUCACUAAUGUUUUGUAUAAAGUUAAGUGAGUUUCGGGAAUCAAAAAAGUUUUCUGUCGUAUUCGUCUUGUGUUAAGUUGUCACAUAAGUUUUUGUGGAGAUACCAUGUCAAUCUGUAAUCUAGCGUUUACUCUUGUCCUCCACUUUAUCUACCAGCAGACUUUGAAAAGCUCAAGCUUUUAGAAGACAGAGUUGCGGUGUUAUCCGUGUAUGAGGCACUAACCUGCGAACGGGAAGUCACUGACGAACUCUUCGACGUAAUCGGGAGGACUGGAAGAUAUCUGAACGUUAGCGCCUGUGGGCGAAG